Molecule: ribosomal RNA, 422 nt
Filed under: uncultured bacterium
Lineage: Bacteria
Description: bacterial SSU rRNA
Rfam family: Bacterial small subunit ribosomal RNA
Source: RNAcentral
UGAGGAAUAUUGGACAACGGGCGCAAGCCUGAUCCAGCCAUGCCGCGUGCAGGAAGAAGCAUCUAUGGUGUGUAAACUGCUUUUGUACGGGAAGAAACACUCCUUCGUGAAGGAGCUUGACGGUACCGUAAGAAUAAGGAUCGGCUAACUCCGUGCCAGCAGCCGCGGUAAUACGGAGGAUCCAAGCGUUAUCCGGAAUCAUUGGGUUUAAAGGGUCCGUAGGCGGUUUAGUAAGUCAGUGGUGAAAGCCCAUCGCUCAACGAUGGAACGGCCAUUGAUACUGCUAGACUUGAAUUACAAGGAAGUAACUAGAAUAUGUAGUGUAGCGGUGAAAUGCUUAGAUAUUACAUGGAAUACCAAUUGCGAAUGCAGGUUACUACUUGUGGAUUGACGCUGAUGGACGAAAGCGUGGGGAGCAAACA